CCUCCUGUUUAUCCCCUUGCAUAUGCAGCAGUAGAAGAUACUUGUAGGAAACCCAGCUAGAUAAAGCCUAAAACAACAACAAUAACAAAAAAAACAGUAAUAUAAAGAGCCACGUGGUAUCAUUAACCGGAAGUGUGGACAAAUUAUAAAGCCAUUAGCCACCUCUGCCAUUGCAACUGUGCUUGCAGGUGCCCUAGAUGCUUCUGGCUCCUGCUGGAUUAGAGCUGUAACUUAAGCUGAGGGUUUCCAAAUAGCAAGAUUAGAUAUUCAGAGGAUGUUUACCUCCUGUGAUGUCUGGUUCAAGCACUUCAUUGCAGGCGUUCUACGAUUAUCCAAGACAAGUGGAGGCUUCCAGCGAUCGUAGUUUGUUUCUAUCACGUACCACGUGCCUUUCUUUAUAUCGAGGCUGGAAAAGAGGUGUACAUUUGUGGUUUGCUUCUCUCAGUAUAUGUCCCUAAAAACCAGAUCUUUUUUGGCAGAUAUAUACAUCUGAUAUAUAUAUGAUUCUAAAGAACUAAGUUCUUGCACAAUAUAAGGAAAAACGUGACAAUUACUGGAGGAGCCUGUUCUCUUCUGAAAAGAGGAGCUCUGUAUCAGGUCAAGCAUACUCACUCCCAUAUAUCCAGAGCAGCUGUCCUGGAGCGAGUUAUCACACAGCCUUCUCCAGAAUUUUUUCCCCCGAGUAUAAAGUAAGCCGGAGCCAGCAGUCUUGUUUUUGCCAGUUUGUCUUUUGCAUCUUGGUAACUCGUAGCAUUCUCUAGUACUGAUCUUGUAAGAAAGCCCAUCCACAUACCAUCUCUUCUACCAAGAAACCAUUCAAAGAUACCAAUAUAACCACCAUCAAGACUGAAACGCUCAUUCAUUGUCAGAGUGAACAAAUCUGGUUUGACACCUGACACCAUUCCUAUGUAUCCUGCAAAGUUUGUAGACCUAAACACUGUUUUGUUGUUUCUCUGGAAGUCCAAGUUUACCACCGUAGGCUUCAGUUCCCGAGUUACAGUCCAGGAAUUAUUUUUAACAUCCCACCCAAGGAAGAGUCCAAAAUCCAAGUUUCUGGCAUGAUACAGCUUUCCUCUGCUAUCUUCUGCCACUAUGGAUGUGCACACAGUAAAAAUUUCAUAGAAGAUGUUAAAAAUAACAAUCUCCCCUAGAAUAAAAGAAAAAAUAAAUUAAUUUGAAACUUUUGCCAAGAUCAGGAAAAAAAAUAAGAACAAAAUUCUACUGCAAAGUUCAGUAUUCUGUAGCAUUUCUAUUAAGAGACGGUUUUAAUCCUGUUUGAUGUUUGAAAUGACCAGUUUAGCAAAAGCAGGAACUUCCUGAAAGGCCUUCUGCCCUACUAUACAGAAAGCGGACAGCUACUUCCCC
This 1365-nucleotide long non-coding RNA is filed under the name Gallus gallus (chicken). Lineage: Eukaryota; Metazoa; Chordata; Aves; Galliformes; Phasianidae. The record is from RNAcentral.